UAAGCGGAGGAAAAGAAACUAACAAGGAUUCCCCUAGUAACGGCGAGUGAAGCGGGAAGAGCUCAAAUUUGAAAUCUAAUGGCCUCAGGUCAUUCGAGUUGUAAUCUAUAGGAACGUUUUCCGUGCCGGCUCAUGUACAAGUCCCUUGGAACAGGGCGUCAUAGAGGGUGAGAAUCCCGUACUUGACAUGAACUACCGGUGCUCUGUGAUACGUCUCCAACGAGUCGAGUUGUUUGGGAAUGCAGCUCAAAAUGGGUGGUAAAUUCCAUCUAAAGCUAAAUAUUGGUGUGAGACCGAUAGCGAACAAGUACCGUGAGGGAAAGAUGAAAAGCACUUUGGAAAGAGAGUUAAAAAGUAUGUGAAAUUGUUGAAAGGGAAACGAUUGAAGUCAGUCAUGUCCUUCAGAUUCAGCUGGUUCUGCCGGUGUAUUUCUGUUGGAUGGGGUCAACAUCAGUUUUGGAUGCCGGAUAAAGGUGGGAGGAAGGUAGUACCCCCGGGUAAACUUAUAGCCUCUCAUUGCAUACGGUGACUGGGACUGAGGAACGCAGCUUGCCUUUAUGGCCGGGGUUCGCCCACGUACAAGCUUAGGAUGUUGACAUAAUGGCUUUAAACGACCCGUCUUGAAACACG
RNAcentral lists this ribosomal RNA (630 nucleotides) under Cryptococcus sp. CBS 9089. Its description in RNAcentral is "eukaryotic LSU rRNA". It matches the Rfam family "Eukaryotic large subunit ribosomal RNA", at positions 47 to 663 of the family's 3401-position model. The record is from RNAcentral. Lineage: Eukaryota; Fungi; Basidiomycota; Tremellomycetes; Tremellales; Cryptococcaceae.